RNAcentral lists this long non-coding RNA (881 nucleotides) under Homo sapiens (human). RNAcentral's name for it is "non-protein coding VIM-AS1:9". Lineage: Eukaryota; Metazoa; Chordata; Mammalia; Primates; Hominidae. The record is from RNAcentral.
CGCGCUCCACCUCGACGCGGGCUUUGUCGUUGGUUAGCUGGUCCACCUGCCGGCGCAGCUCCCGCAUCUCCUCCUCGUAGAGGUCCCCCAGGCGCGACUUGCCUUGGCCCUUGAGCUGCUCGAGCUCGGCCAGCAGGAUCUUAUUCUGCUGCUCCAGGAAGCGCACCUUGUCGAUGUAGUUGGCGAAGCGGUCAUUCAGCUCCUGCAGCUCCACCUUCUCGUUGGUGCGGGUGUUCUUGAACUCGGUGUUGAUGGCGUCGGCCAGCGAGAAGUCCACCGAGUCCUGCAGGAGCCGCACCCCGGGCACGCUGCUCCGCAGGCGCACGGCAGAGGAGCGCGUGGCAUACACGCCGCCCGGGGACGAGGCGUAGAGGCUGCGGCUGGUGCUGGGGCGCAGCGCGCUGCCCAGGCUGUAGGUGCGGGUGGACGUAGUCACGUAGCUCCGGCUGGAGCUCGGCCGGCUCGCGGUGCCCGGGCCGCCGAACAUCCUGCGGUAGGAGGACGAGGACACGGACCUGGUGGACAUGGCUGCGGAGGGUGGCGAUGGCCUGGGCGGCGGCGGUGGCGCGGACUGGCUCCCGGAGAAGAGGCGAACGAGGGCGCGACAGCAAAGCUCCCUUUGGAUGACAUAGAUUUAUUACUUAGUAGUAUAUUAUGUAUUGGCUGUCCCACAUUUUGAAAUUUAAUGGACUCGUGGUGAUCAGAAUAAAAGAAGCCUUCGAUGUGAGGCCCAGGCAUUGAGUACCAUGUGUGCGAUUCACAAGCCUUGGCAUCUGAACAAUUUUUUGGAAGGAUCCAUCAGGACAACACGUCGGGGGUGUACUAGUGAAGUGAUUUUCCAAAUGUGCUACUCAGACCUGUAGCAUCAGCAUCACCGGAUA